CCCUAACCGCGCAAAGGUAGCAUAAUCACUUGUCCCUUAAAUAUGGACCAGUAUCAACGGCAUCACGAGGGUUCCACUGUCUCCUUUCUCUAAUCAGUGAAACUGAUCUCCCCGUGAAGAAGCGGGGAUAAACCCAUAAGACGAGAAGACCCCAUGGAGCUUCAAACCAGCUUUANCCCCCCCCCACCCUUUUUAUACCCUCUUAUCUGCGGAACACUACAUGCUCGGUUUUAGGUUGGGGCGACCACGGAGCAUAAAAAAACCUCCAUGAUGCAUGAGCCUACCCUCUUACCUAAGAAACACACUUCUAGGAAUUAGCACACUAACAUACUAUGAUCCAGUAACUGAUCAACGAACUAAGUUACCCUGGGGAUAACAGCGCAAUCCAUUUCAAGAGCUCCUAUCGACAAAUGGGUUUACGACCUCGAUGUUGG
This 434-nucleotide ribosomal RNA is filed under the name Gephyromantis tschenki. RNAcentral's name for it is "partial 16S ribosomal RNA". It matches the Rfam family "Bacterial large subunit ribosomal RNA", at positions 1940 to 2535 of the family's 2925-position model. Lineage: Eukaryota; Metazoa; Chordata; Amphibia; Anura; Mantellidae. The record is from RNAcentral.